AGAAACCUAAUUUUUUCAAAGACUUUCAUUUCCAUAAGCUAUUGAGAUAUUGGACUCAAAUUGAUUUAAUAAGAUGCAAGAUCACAGGAGAAGGGACCUUUUCAUUUUCUACAUGGGCAUUCCCAAGCAUCCGUAAGAGUUUUUUAAACAAGCUCAGUUGCGAGUAAAAAAGGGUAUGGAAGGAGUCACAGCCCACUUAAAUACAAUCACACAAAUUCGAGGACACAGGAAAAGGGAAAAGAAUUCUAGGUAAUACAGAAAGAA
Molecule: long non-coding RNA, 264 nt
Filed under: Monodelphis domestica (gray short-tailed opossum)
Lineage: Eukaryota; Metazoa; Chordata; Mammalia; Didelphimorphia; Didelphidae
Description: lncRNA (ENSMODG00000047862.1)
Source: RNAcentral